UUGAACGCUGGCGGAAUGCUUUACACAUGCAAGUCGAGCGGCAGCGCGGGGCAACCUGGCGGCGAGCGGCGAACGGGUGAGUAACAUAUCGGAACGUACCCUAUCGUGGGGGAUAACACAUCGAAAGAUGUGCUAAUACCGCAUACGACCUGAGGGUGAAAGCGGGGGAUCGCAAGACCUCGCGCGACAGGAGCGGCCGAUAUCGGAUUAGCUAGUUGGUGAGGUAAAGGCUCACCAAGGCGACGAUCCGUAGCUGGUCUGAGAGGAUGAUCCGCCACACUGGGACUGAGACACGGCCCAGACUCCUACGGGAGGCAGCAGUGGGGAAUUUUGGACAAUGGGGGCAACCCUGAUCCAGCCAUUCCGCGUGAGUGAAGAAGGCCUUCGGGUUGUAAAGCUCUUUCAGCUGGAACGAAACGGUACGCGCUAACAUCGCGUGCUAAUGACGGUACCGGCAGAAGAAGCACCGGCUAACUACGU
RNAcentral lists this ribosomal RNA (480 nucleotides) under uncultured bacterium. Its description in RNAcentral is "bacterial SSU rRNA". It matches the Rfam family "Bacterial small subunit ribosomal RNA", at positions 29 to 506 of the family's 1533-position model. The record is from RNAcentral.